AAGAACGAAACGCCCAGUGUUUAAGUUUCGGCCUUAAAAUUUUAAGGUUUUCCUUACGUUCUUU
This 64-nucleotide transfer RNA is filed under the name Gastrocopta cristata. Its description in RNAcentral is "tRNA-Arg". Lineage: Eukaryota; Metazoa; Mollusca; Gastropoda; Stylommatophora; Pupillidae. The record is from RNAcentral.